RNAcentral lists this ribosomal RNA (696 nucleotides) under uncultured Bacteroidales bacterium. RNAcentral describes it as "bacterial SSU rRNA". It matches the Rfam family "Bacterial small subunit ribosomal RNA", at positions 32 to 715 of the family's 1533-position model. Lineage: Bacteria; Pseudomonadati; Bacteroidota; Bacteroidia; Bacteroidales. The record is from RNAcentral.
AACGCUAGCUACAGGCUUAACACAUGCAAGUCGAGGGGAAACGAUAGAGAAAGCUUGCUUUUUCUAGGCGUCGACCGGCGCACGGGUGAGUAACGCGUAUCCAACCUGCCCACCACUUGGGGAUAACCUUGCGAAAGUAAGACUAAUACCCAAUGAUAUCUCUAGAAGACAUCUGAAAGGGAUUAAAGAUUUAUCGGUGAUGGAUGGGGAUGCGUCUGAUUAGCUUGUUGGCGGGGUAACGGCCCACCAAGGCUACGAUCAGUAGGGGUUCUGAGAGGAAGGUCCCCCACAUUGGAACUGAGACACGGUCCAAACUCCUACGGGAGGCAGCAGUGAGGAAUAUUGGUCAAUGGGCGAGAGCCUGAACCAGCCAAGUAGCGUGCAGGAUGACGGCCCUAUGGGUUGUAAACUGCUUUUAUAAGGGAAUAAAGUGAGCCUCGUGAGGCUUUUUGCAUGUACCUUAUGAAUAAGGACCGGCUAAUUCCGUGCCAGCAGCCGCGGUAAUACGGAAGGUCCGGGCGUUAUCCGGAUUUAUUGGGUUUAAAGGGAGCGUAGGCCGGAGAUUAAGCGUGUUGUGAAAUGUAGACGCUCAACGUCUGCACUGCAGCGCGAACUGGUUUCCUUGAGUACGCACAAAGUGGGCGGAAUUCGUGGUGUAGCGGUGAAAUGCUUAGAUAUCACGAAGAACUCCGAUUG